ACAAGGAAUGUAGAGAAGAGUUG
Molecule: non-coding RNA, 23 nt
Filed under: Cricetulus griseus (Chinese hamster)
Lineage: Eukaryota; Metazoa; Chordata; Mammalia; Rodentia; Cricetidae
Source: RNAcentral